GCCAAGGGGUUAUUUCGCGACUACCCCGUGAGGCGGCAGCCCAAAGUUCGCGUCCAGCUUUCCCGAGAGAAAGGGGAUGGACGCCAUG
Molecule: non-coding RNA, 88 nt
Organism: Mesorhizobium sp. 65-26
Lineage: Bacteria; Pseudomonadati; Pseudomonadota; Alphaproteobacteria; Hyphomicrobiales; Phyllobacteriaceae
Source: Rfam